AUGACCUGCAAGCUGGAGUUCUAACUUAAGCUCUACAUUGUCUUCUUUCCCCUUGGAUGUCAAGGAAAUGAACUGGUGAAUGAUGAUGCACCUUUGAAAUUUGAUGUUGCUUGUUUUAUCUUGCUAACAAAGCUUAUCUCAUCAACUAACAGAUUUCCGGCAUUUAAUGAAAGAUUCUAGCAUGCACCUCACUGAUGUUUCAUUGCCUUAGACAUGUAAUAAGUACAUGAUGGUUCAUUUUGGUCUUAUCUAUGCUUGAGAAUUUAAAUGACUAAAGUCUAUGUUAUGCUAAUUAAUAGUUUAAAUGAACAAUUUUGUUCUUGCUCACAAUGGGGAAUGUAUCAUCACGACAUGACCAAAUUGAUUCUGGAAUAGACUGGAGUGCUGGGUCAAACAGAAUAGUAGCAGUGUCCCAUGAUCGAAAUUCGUGAGCACCUAAUGCAGUCUUUGUUCUUAUGUAAAAUUACCUAAUUGGAACCACCUUGUGUUCUACCUCCUUUCUGCAUAUUUUCGAGUAUCUAAUGCAGUUUUUGUUCUUAUGUAGAUAUGUAUGGAAUCAUGAAGGAUCAGAGUGGGUGCCUACCUUAGUUAUCCUCAAGCUAAACUGAGCUGCGCUUUGCCUUCAAUGGAGCCCAAAAGGUAUGUAGAAUCAUUGAGUUUGAAGACAGGAUGAUGUUGAAUGUUGCCUGUCAAAGGCUUCUUAGAGUAUUUGCAUUGUAUUGAAGAAGAAUAAAAUUCUGUUGAAAUUGCUAGAAGAAUUUGGUUUGGUCAGUUGUUCUUAAAAUGGCACUUGAGCUGUUAGACUCCAGGGAGCCAUUUACAAAUGUGAAGUAUCAAUAAGUUUCUGCGUGAAUUAUAAUUCCUCUAAUAGGUUUAUUCUUCAUCUUUCAUAAUAUAGUUAAAAAAUUGCGUAUAGUUUUAUCUUUUGUUCUGACCUUGCAGUUUAGCUGGUUGUGGUUCUUUUUUUCUCUAUAAGUAAAGACAAAUUCACAAUGAGUCUUCAAGGGUGCCGGCCUAUAUAUAAAAAGAGCUGAAAGCCAAAAGAAUGCUCAUUUACCAAACUAGUGAGUUAGUUCUGAUCUCUGAUUGUACUUCAAAUUUGAGGUCUCCCUAUAUUUCCAACUCUGUAAUGGUCCUUCUAAUCCUUUCUCCCCUCUUCCUUUACUCCUCCUUCACACGUCACAGAUAUUUUCACUAUGGACUACUAAGUUAUUCUGCUUGAUUUCCUCUUGUCAAAUGGACCGAGUAUGAUGAGCCAAUAAAUACUCUCAUUGGUUUCUUCUUUUCCCUGCAGAAAACAAAUUUGCUGUUGGAAGUGGGGCUAAUAUAAUGUGCAUAUGCUACUAUGAGCAAGAAAACAACUGUUAUUAGCUCCUAUUUCUAGGUUUUUCCUCUUCAUUGUUUUUUUUUUUUGCACAAUCUUAUGUUGGCUUGGACGUGUAUUCUUCUGAUGUGUUUUUUAGUAAGUCAUCACUGACUGAUCAAGGAUUUAUGGGUAAUAUGUUUUCCAAACUUGGGGGACAAGUUAGUUGUGUUCACUGCAUUUGAACUCUUUCUUUUAUGGUGAAAGCUUUUAAAUUCGGGUAUGAGCAUUGGCCAAGCAUUGUUUGCUUGAAGUUGACCUAGGUCGUUUCUGAGUAUGCGAUACUCAUGGAUGAGCCUUAUAUAGUUGUGGAAGCACAUAUAAAUGGCAAACCACAGAAGUUCACGGUACAGGACUUUGAAGAGGAACAAAUAGUAUUCUGGCAGGGUUGAUGCUGUUGUACUGCUCAUUUCUUCAGUAGAGUUUGGAGUGCAAACUCCAAUGGAGACUUCAAAGCAGUGCUAAUGCUACAUUUAUGAAUCAAAUAUCCCUCCUAAUACUUGCUUCUUCUUUAAAAACUAAACUGUUCUGGCUAAAUCUAAAUAAAGUUAACCUAGCAAGUAUAUGCCUUGAUUGUUGUUGUCAAUGGUUGGCAGGCUUCUUGAUUGUAGACAAAUCUCGCACUAGUUUUUCUCCUUGUCAGUACCUCGACGUAGUGUAUUCUCGAUAUCCUACUCUAUUCUUUCUAGUUGAUGAUCUUUUCGAAUUAAAAUGUUUUUCAACCAAUCUUUAUGGAUUUUUUUUACAUAGAAUCCUACGUAUUUUAUCUGUCUUCUGCACCUUGCACCAUUUCAGUUUGAGAUCAAGCCCAUACCUUUCACAGUCUAAUUUUAAACCAGGAAUUUGUUUCAUGUCAACAGAUGUGGUUCAUUGCCUCAUCAUGUCAUCAAGCAUUGAAAACUAGGCAUUGAGAUUCUUCUGAUUUUGGAUUUUCUGUUUGUCUUGUUCUACUAUAAUUUCUUUGAACUGUAAAAUCUCUUUAUAUGCUUCUGCCUUUAUAGUCUCUGCAUAUCAGUAGAUUGUAUUAAUGAUAACUAUAACAUCUGCUUUCUUGUAGUGGUUGCAUUCUGUCCGAACAAUAGUGAAGUUCACAUUUACAAACUUUCAGAAGACAAGUGGGAGCAAGCGCAUAUUCUCCAAAAGGUCAUUAUUUCAGUACUUAAUCCUUAAAGAGUAAUUGACUUUGAAUUCAAAUAACUGAAAUACAGGGAUGACAAUAUACUAAACAGUAUUUAUGUGAGCACAGAAAUAAAAGCUACAUACUAUAUUUACCGAAAGAUAAGCAAAACUGCAUUUGUGUUGAGCUCUCUGAUUUCUUGUCUUCAGUGUGGUAAUUCUCCUGCCAUGUUUGUUUUUCUCCAAAACUAAAGAAAUAGGACCUGAAGACAAUCUAUUUUAGUUUUCCCACUUUCCUAUUGCUUGUCUCUUCUACUGUUCUUUUCUCUCUCCAGUUUAUGGUAUUGAUGACUUCUUUCUCCACAAUGUCAACUGUCAUUUCUAAACAGUGAUUUGAUGACCACAUAUGAUCUGCAAGCUGGAGUUCUAAGUUCAGCUCCACAUUGUCUUUUUUCCCCUUGGAUGUCAAGGAAAUGAACUAGUGAAUGAUGAUGCACCUUUGAAAUUUGAUGUUGCUUGUUUUUUUCUUGCUAACAAGGCUUAUCUCAUUGACCAACAGAUUUUCGGCAUUUAAUGAAAGAUUCUAGCAUGCACCUCACUGAUGUUUCAUUGCCUUGAACAUAUUAUAAGUACAUGAUGAUGGUUCAUUUUGUUCUUAUCUUUGCUUGAGA
This 3150-nucleotide long non-coding RNA is filed under the name Eucalyptus grandis. Its description in RNAcentral is "long non-coding RNA (EGRA_LNC006287)". The record is from RNAcentral. Lineage: Eukaryota; Viridiplantae; Streptophyta; Magnoliopsida; Myrtales; Myrtaceae.